Molecule: transfer RNA, 84 nt
Filed under: bacterium
Lineage: Bacteria
Description: tRNA-Leu
Rfam family: tRNA
About the family: Transfer RNA (tRNA) molecules are approximately 80 nucleotides in length. Their secondary structure includes four short double-helical elements and three loops (D, anti-codon, and T loops).
Source: RNAcentral
GCCGAGAUGGCGGAAUUGGUAUACGCGCUAGGUUCAGGGUCUAGUGGGCUUACGCCCGUGCGGGUUCGAGUCCCGCUCUCGGCA